UUUUUUUUUUUUUUUUUUUUAUUGAAGUAAGAGCAUUGGAUCUUAACUUAUUCAUUCAACUGAAAUUAGAUCUUGUCGUUUAUAUCGUUGGAAAAGUUGUAAAAUCCGUUGCAAACGGACAUAAAAUUAAGGUAGGACUAAACGGAAAGUACUUGUAGAGUAGUUAUCCUACGUACUCUCUAAUUCCUAUAAACGGCAAGGCCAUUAGUUUCUUGCCACUUAUGGUAAUAACUAAAUUGAUUGAAUAUUUGCAGACAAAAUUUUCGUGUCUUUUAAGUUCGACGAUACCCAUUAUUUCUUUGUGCAUAUGUCGAACUGAAUAAAACCCUAUUUGAGCUUUGCUGAUAGGGCAACAGUAAAUUUAAGCUUCGUGACAACACGCAUAAAAGGUUGGUAUUUAUAAAAGCUUUGCUCAUUCGUGUGCUUACCGUUACAUUAACCGUACAAGAUUUUUUCGGGAUUUUCUUCGACAUAACUCAUCAGUAAGUUAUUUUGUUUUCUUUCUAAUAGUUGUCUCUAGGCCGUCAUUAACGUAGUGUUCGGAAAUUGACGAGACGACUCUAAAUGACCGGAAAAUGUGUAAUAUUCACUUAGCUAAGAUCUAAGACCGCAUAAUUUAUAACGUGUUCGGGAGAUAACAUGUUAAUUAAUAUCCCCAUGCUAGCAAUCAUAUAACACGGAAGAAAGAAGAAAAAAAUGCUGACUUGAAUCGACGAUAUGGAAAUUCACUUUUAACAAAUCUAUAUUAAAACUGGGAAUAAAAGAUAGAACGAUAAGAAAGCAAACCUGCACAAAUGGGAGCAGUACCAAAUUAAGAACUUCAUCGGGAGCUCGCCUAAAGCAUCUGGCUCAAUAAGCAGUACAAAAUUACGUAACAAAAUCUCGUAGUUAUGAAAGAGCAUAUAUAGAAACCGAUAGAAGUAUGACGACUAAGGUUAAAUUAACUUUUAAUUGGUUAAGAGUACGAAGGUUCAAUUUACGUGCACUACACGUAAUAACCUUGAUAACAGUCAUUAGCAUAUUUACGGCAACUGCACAAUCAAUGAAAACUUAAUCGUGUUGACAAGAUUAAAACAUCUUGGUAUGAGCCAAUUGAUCGGAUGCAAAGUCGAUUAAAAAAUGAAUUUGUAUCCCUGUUCGUUUCAUAUAAAUCAUCGAUAGAUUUCAAUUUAAGCUCUCCCUUCGGUAUAGAUAUUUCCAGCCAACAAAAUCUAAAUAUAGAUACGACGAGAUCACCAACAUAAGAAUUAAGUUUAUCUAACUUUUUCAUUUGAAGCCAAAUAAUUACGAGUUGCAUAAAAAACCGAACUUUCGUCGAUCCAACAACAUGUUCCUAAACUCGAUUCCAGUUAUUAACUAGGCUUUAUACCAGACCGUAAUAGGUGAGCAUAAUUUGCCAUAAUAAUAAUAAAAAUGUCAUAACAAAAUUCAACAUAAAACUCAGAGGGCAUAGGUGGGACAAUAUCACAAUAUUUUUUUUUUCCUUUUUCACACAAAAAUAAUUAAGUAUAUAUAUUAAUAAUAAUUAAAUUAAUAAAGAAAAGGAAAUACGAAAGGAAAAGGAAAGAGAAAAUUACUUCUUGGAGAGGCAAGCCCGAAUAUCGCAACCUUGUUUCUUACAUGGCUCUUUACUCGGCUGUCCCAAUUUACCAAACCCUAAUCCUCAAAAUUCCCCCCUUUUUGUUUCUCUUUCUUCACUACUUCCAGAAUUGAUCGGUGGCGUGCUACUGUUGAGAAAAUGGCAGUCAAAUCGAAUCGUUGAUGCUGGUUUUCUUUCAAUUUCGUCGAUUUCAGAAUGAUGAAUUACAGAGAUGAUUGAUCUGUGACUGUAUGUAUAAUAGUAGUACAAAAUUUAUUUUAUUUAUAAAAUUUUAUAAGUAAAUUAUAAAAUUUAUUUAUUUAUUAUUUUUUUAAUAAUUAUUUAAAUUAAGAGAGAUAUUGUUUUUGCAAUUUAACGCUUAGAUCAAGGGGCAACUAAAACAAAUCCCAAUUUUUUCUCACUUCAGUAUCUCCAAGUUUAAAACCAUUUUUUAUAGAAGUUUUUACAACUUUUUCUUAGUUUAAAACCAUAAAUAAAUAAAAAAUGCUAGCAAAGUACAAAAAUGCCCUUCAUCAACCAUAAUACAAUUUAUACAAACAAUUUUUUUAUUCCUCACUUCAAUACCAAGGAAAAAAAGAAAAACAAAUCCUCUCUUCUUCUCCCCAAACUCAAAUCCCUUAGAGCAUCCACAAUGGGCUCUUUAAAUGUAUUCUUUGUGUCAGAUUUUAGCCAAUCUUUAAAUUUGGAGAGGAAAAGCUCCUGUAGUGGGAAACUUUAUGCCUCUUCAUAACUCCCCAAAUCUUGAGAAAUGCUAACUAACUCCCCACAGAUAGGAGUGCAUUAACAAACAUUGCGGGGUCUGCUUUUGUUUUAUUUAUUUUUUAUUAUUCAAAUUAUUAUCUUUUUUGCUUUUCUUUUUGUUUUUAUUUCACGGUAUGUACAUUAAGGAAAUAAUGUACUAUUUAAUAAUUGUUUAAAUAAAAAUUACUAAUUACUUCCAUUUAUUUAUACUUAAUUAGCCUUAUUGUAAUAAAAAAACAAUUAACUCGUAAAUUUAAUUUUUUUUUAUUAUUUUCAUGAAUAGAUAAUUUUAUCAUUUCUAAAAUAGUAUUCAUCAAAUUAAUAAUCUUAUUUCAACUCAUUUGUAUUUUUUUGGCUAAUUAAUAUUUAUGUUAUUCGUAAAUUUUUUGAAUCUUUUAAAUAUUAUUUAUAUAUUUAUAGAAUUAAAAAAAUAAAUAUAAUUCAUAAUUAAAAAUAUAUAAAUAUAAUUUCAUAAUUAUAUUUUACUAAUUAAAUAUAUUUUACUAAUUAAAUAUAAAAAAUUAAAAAUAUAAUUUCAUAAUUAUUAUAUUAUAAUGAUUUUUUUUUAUUAAUAUUUAAUAUUUAGGAAGCCAUUGUAAGGAUGCACAAAACCACCUAUUGGAGCAUUUUGAAAUUUGGGGAGUUCUUAAGUGGGGUCCAUAGUUUAGAGAGGAGUAAAAAUGCAUAGGUGGCAUGUGGGGUCCACAGGUUAGGGAGGGAUUGUAGGGAGUACCGCUGUGGAUGCUCUUAAACCCUAUCUUCUUCAUCUUCUUAAAUCCUCCAAAACAUCUCCAAAUUCAAAAAAUCAAAACCUCACAAAACUUAUAAAAUGGAGUUAUAAGACAAUAAUAUGGUAGUAUGUAUGGAAAGAGAACCCAUUAAGGUAAGUAUCGAUGUUUUUUUUGAGCCUCGAAGUCGAUUUGGAAUUUUUUUUUGACCCCGUCGGCAAUUUUCGACACAUACAGGUCGAUUUUUUUGUCAAUUUUCGACACCAACGUGUCGAAAAAAAAUAAAAAAAAAAAAAAACACAAAUUUCGACAGGUAUGUGUCGAAAAAAUACUGUUGGUAAACAAUAAUUUUUUUUUUUUACCAAUAGUGUUUUUCGACACUUGCCUGUCGAAAUUGGGAGAAUUUUCAACAUGUAUGUGUCGAAAUUUGUUUUUUUUUUUUUUUGUUUUUUUUUCGACACGUUGGUGUCGAAAAUUGACCAAAUAAUCGACAUGUAUGUGUCGAAAAUUGCCGACGGGGUCAAAAAAAAAACUUCAAAAUCGACUUCGAAGCUCAAAAAAGACAUCGAUACUUACCUUAAUGUGUUCUCCUUUCAUAUAUACUACCAUAUUAUUGUCUUGUAACUCAAUUUUAUAAUUUUUGUGAGGUUUUAAUUUCUUUAGUUUUGAGAUUUUUUAGAAGGGGUUUUGGGGGAGGGAGAAGAAUGAGGUGGAGGAGGUGAGGGGUUUGUGAGUGAGGAGGGAAAUGGUUUUUUAGGGUUUUUGAUUAUUUGGUAUAUAAGAAAGAAAAAUAGUAUUUGUAAUAUUUUUUUGAUUUUAAUUUUCAUUAAGGGUAUUAAAGUAAUUUACAAUUAAUUAUUUAAUUUUUAUUUUUUUAUUAUUCAAGUAAGCAAAAGUUGGGAUUUGAAAUAGUGAUCCCCUUAGAUCAAACGUCGAAGUACACAUUGGGACAAUUUUUCAAAGGGUUACCCCUCGUACUCUGCCUGAGAAUCACUUUACUCCCUCGUACUCUCAAUUUCAUCGAUUUACCCCAUGUACUUGUACAAUUUCUCAAUACAGCCAUUUCCUUCAACUUUUGACAUUUUUUACUCUGACACCGUUUAGUCAACUCUGUAAAUUACGAAAUUGCCACUGCCUACAACGCGUCGUUUCUCCUCCGUUAAUAUUGUCAUUUCUUCUUCUCCCACCACUUCCCCUUCCAAGAUAUCCCCAAAUUGAACCCCUAACUUAGUAAAAAUUAAGACCCUAAAAUUGAUCGAUUCCACCCACUGCAAAAAAAAAAAUAUAUGAAUGUGUGAAACUUUCUCUUUUCUAAUCUCGAUAGUCAAAAUCGAAAAAAAUCAAUAUUUACGUCAAUAUUUUGACUCUUGACCAAAUGGCGUCAGAGUCAAAAUCGAAAAAAGUUGACGGAGAGGAUUGUAUUGAGAAAUUGUACAAGUAUAAGGGGGUAAAUCGACGAAAUUAAGAGUACAAGGGGGUAAAAUGGUUCUUGGACAUAGUACAAUGAGUAAAGUGGAAUUUACCAUUUUUCAAAUAUAUGAGGCAAAUGAUGCAAUUAGGAGUAGAAAUGGGUAAAGUGGAAUUUACCCUAUUAAAAAUACUAACAAUAUAAAUACCCAUUACAAUUUUCAAUUAUUUACUCGUUAAUUGAAAAUUAAUAAUAUUUGAUUUUUUUUAUAUUAUAAUAUUACUGUGAAUUGGUGAAUAAAUAUUUUUAUUCAAACUAUGAUCAAUAUAUAGGUAAAAGUACAAACUUGAUUCACAUUACUAGUGACACUUUUUUUUUUUUUCCAACUUAUUAUUUGGGAUGUGAUCGUCGCCACUUGGAUAUCUUGGGCUUCUCGUUCCACCGGGCGGAGACGAACUGCAAAUUCCCGAACUCUCCACCAUACACACACGAGAAUCUUUAGCAACCAUCGUCAUGCGAUAGAAGCUUGUUUUUUCUAGAAAAAGUAGCAUCCACAUUAAUCUCAAUCGUCCCCAUGGUGAAGGUUUCCAAACCGUUUCCUCAAGCUCAAAUGUCUACUCCCCAUACAAUAUCUGGUUACGACGAUCCCAUAUCUGCCAGUAUACCACCACUGCCACCAAGAACGAUACAACAACAAUUGAUAUCCUAAUCAUGAACAAGAAGUGCAUGCACAACCACGUUGCAUCCGACAUAAGAGGGCAAGAAAUAUAGAUAAUAAUCCCACAUGCCCAACUCUACAUUUAAUAUUCUUUGAUUUCAUGAUUUAAAGUUUUGUGUUCAUUCCAUAUUCGGUAAAUUGAUUGAAUUCAGAUCUAACAAACAACCAAACAAUAGUUUUUUUUACAAAGUUAUAUAUCAAUGUCAUAUACAAUGCACAAAUUUUGCACUAAUGAACUUGGACACAAAAUUAGCACUAAUAAACUUGGCACAAAUCCUGUACUAAAGAAGAAGAAAAAAACAGUCUUAACUGAAUUACAAUAUUAUUAUUCCUCAACAAAUAAAUCAAUCAAAUGCCAUUUUUUCUCACAAGAACCACAUAUACUGAAAGCUCGCUAAAAAACAAGUCUAAUUUCUAGAGCUCGCUCAAAUGUUUCAUCUUAAAGAAAUCUAAAAGCACAAUCAAUUGCACGUAAAAAUUGAAAUUGCGCUCCCAACAUUUAUUUCACUGUCAAUAUAAACUCACCACUCCAUCAUUUCAUUUCACUCACCAUUUAAACUACACAGUCUGCAAUCAAAAAAAGAAAAAAAAAUGCAUUUGUGAAAAGAAAUGGCGACUGACAAUGUAUUGAAAGUGGAAGUGCUAUACAAAGAGUGCAUGCAUCACAACCAUGCAGCUGAUCUCGCGAGGCCAUGCUUUGUGCCGCCUGCAAGGGGUCGACCCGCGACUCGCGCAAAGAGAAUAACGAGGGCCCAAAGCGAAAUGGUCAGGGCCUUGAGUGAGAGGAAUGACUGGAAAAUGUUCUGGGAGUACUCUCAGGCUGAGGUUUUACGUAUUUGUUCCGAUUUCGGAAUAACUAAACUGGCGCUAAAAAAUUGCACUCUCAACACAGCCGGAAAAGAACACCUGCAAUAGAUCAACAAUAGGGUUUUCGGGGUGUUUUCUCUUUGUGUUUUUUCAGUUCCUAGGUUUAAAGGGAAGCUAGCAAAAUUAAGAUAGAGCGGACAGUGCACUAAUAUUGCACAUUGCGCUAAUAUUGCACAGUAUAACUAAAAACAUAUUACUUCUACCAUUCUAAUUUACAUUAUUACAAUUCCUUCUUCGGACUCUUCACAAUCAAGAAACGAAAUCAUUCGUACCAAACACCACUAUCUAGCAGCUUGUUAACCUAGACAGACUACAAGUGUUGUACAAGCAAAAUAUGACGAUCACUACCAAUUAAAAACUAAUUCAAAUUAUCUUGGUUACUCUGUUUGGAGUUAAUAUUAUCACAACUUCGUUCACCUAGAAUUCCCAAAUCGAACUUCCAAUUUAUUUACUCUCGACAUUUCUAGGUUAUUAUAUAUCAGUAUCUCUAACAAAGGAGUUACCAAAAUCAUACGCCAAUGAAUCAUUUCCUAAGAUUCUUUAUACACAAAUAAUAAGUUAAUCUUACAACAUAACCAAUCUAACAAAGUCAGGAGAAUAUCCUUUAUCAUUCUCAUCAACAAUGCCGAAAGCCAAUUAUUUAUCGGUAUCGACUUUGAAUAUCUGCAUAUCGUAAAUCAUAUAUUUACACCAAAUGAAUGAGAAAAUUCAAGUAUACAAUCUUAGUAUAUUUAGUACAGAGGAUCAAGAACUUACUUAUCUUACAUUCUGCCAACAUCUGUAAAAUGAAAUAUUGCUAAACGAGGCAAAAUAUUAUUUAUGAGGCAAAAUAUUAUGUAGUACCCUAAUAAAGAUUUGUUAUUCCAACGAUCAUUUAUUUCUUAUUUUCGUGAUAUUUGUAGGUAAAUAUUAAAAUCAUAAAUUACUGUAAAACAAAAUGUUAAAAUGUCUUCAUGAUUGUGACGUCAUAAUUAAAUGAAAUUAAUAAAAUCUGAUCCUGCAAAGUUAUCUUUGACUGCAAAAUCAAUAUUUAUGCAUUACUAUCAAAACUCAAAUCUGAGUCUGUAAAAUAAUUUUAAAUUAUAAAAUAUAUUCGUUUGAAUAUUAUAUAUAAAGUAAAUAGAGUGAAUGUAUAUAUAAUUAUAUAUUGUGAGUCUAAGUAUAAUUUAAUGAAAAUCUAUGUUAUGGAUUACAACUCGAGAAUAAUGAAAAUCUUGAUUAUGGAUUCAUUAAUUAAUAUUUUUCAAUUUCAUAAUCCACUAUUUUCUAAAAUGGAUUAACCAUAAUCCAAAAUUUACAAAAAUAAGAUUACACCUCAACCCUCACUUCACUCUCUAUAUAAAGUCACCACUCUCCUUCAUUUCAUUUCAUUCAUCAUCUAAAAAAACACAUUCUGCAGUAAAAAAAAAGAAAAAAUCUGCAUUCUUGAAAAGAAAUGGCCAAUGACAAUGCAUUGAAAGUGGAAAUGCUAGUCAUAUACAAAAAGUGUAUGCACAACCAUGCAGCCUCCACCAGAGGAUUCCUCCUCGACGGCUGCGGCCUCUUCGAGGCCCCUAGCGGCACCACCGCCGGGUCCCGCGAGGCCAUGUUCUGUGCCGUCUGCGGCUGCCACCGCAACUUCCACCAGAGAGUCGCGGUGGAAAUUCCACAACACUACCACUCCUCCCGCUCCUCCUCCGCCUCGCAACUCCACCAACAACAACAGCCCGCCUCCCACCCCCACCACCACCACCGUGGUGGCAGAGGCAACAUGAUCAUUUGCCGCGAACCGGCCUCUGCACAGGGCCGCUUCGCUCUCGAGUAGGCGGCGGCUCGUCGGCAGACGCCGGCAGCGAGCCCCGCCCUGACCACCUCUCCGGCCACCAGACAUGUACAGAGCCGAGCCCCACAUCGACAUGCGUCGGGCACCUCUGCACGACAGGGAGUGCCACCUCAGCAUGGGGUGCGUGCUACGCGCGCAAAGAGAAUAACGAGGGCCCAAAGCGAAAUGGUGAGGACCUUGACUGAGAGGAACAACUGGAAAAUGUUCCGGGAGUACUCUCAGGCCGAGGUUUUACGUAUUUGUUCCGAUUUCGGAAUAACUACACUGGCCCUCAAAAACUGCAUCUCUUCUCUACACAGGCGAAGAAGAAAAGCUGCAAUAGAUCAACACCAGGGUUUUCGUUUUAGUUUUUUUUUUCGGUUCCUAGGUCCAAAGAGAACUAGUGUUUAUUGUAAUAGAUGUAAUCUGUGUACUGAGAUGAUACUUGUCUUUAUCUUCCUUGUCCAAAAUUCAACUACACUAAUUAAAUUAUGAUAGAGCGAGCCGACACUGCACUAAUAUUGCUCAUAUAACUAAAAACGAAUUUCUUCAAACCAUUCUAAUGUAACCAGAAAAACAAAAUCAUUUGUGCCAAACAUCUCUAGCAUGUUAACCUAAGAAGUUGUUGGUUAUAGAAACAAAAUAUAUACCGAUAAAUGAAAAUAUAAGAAAAGAGACCAAAUAAAAUAACUUCAAUAGCUCGAAACUCACACCAAGAAUGCACAUAACAAGAUAUUCUAUAUGCACAAAUUCUGCACCGAUCAACUUGACACAAAAUCAUCGCAGUUUUCUGUUUUUCUCAUGAUGCAAAACAUACUAUUUAUUUUUUUCAGCUACUCUUGCUUAACUUUUAUGAGAAGACCAAGAAAUGAAUUGCGCAAAAGGUGGUAAAAAAAUGCACUAAGCUUGUCAUACGAACCCAACUCAUUCCCUUUCGUUAUCAUGAUCUUCUACUCUUCAAAUGACUACCAAUAACGUACAAUAAUAACCUAAGACAGUUCUCCUGCACGUAAGAAAAGGAUAAUGAGGGCAUAAAGUGAAAUGGUGAGGGCUCUGUCUGAGAGGAACGGCUGGAAGAUGUUUCGGGAGUACUCUCAGGCGGAGGUUUUACGUAUUUGUUAUGAUUUUGGAAUAACUAAAACAGUGCUCAAAAACUGCAGUUUUCAACACAUGGCGAAAACGAGCAGCUGCAACGCUGUUGGCUGCUGAAAAUCAACAGUACGGUUUUAUCUUUAGAUACAUUAAUUUUAAAAUUGAAUGGUUACUUCUUAAGUUUAAAGCAUUGUUGUUUAUACUGUUUAUCAUGACACAGAUUUUUAUAUAUCUUAUCAGAACCAUCUACCAUUCUCUUCAUUUUCAUUGUCCAAAAUUCACAAAAUCAAUAUACAAUUACCUAAACUAAUUAAAUGAGGAUAGAGCGAGCGGCACUGCACUAAUAUUGCACAUUGCACUAAUAUUGCACAGUAUAACUAAAAACAGAUUUCUUGUACCGUUCUACUUUAAUUAUCACAAGUUCGUUCACCUAGGAUUUCCAAAUCGAACUUCCAAUUUAUUUUUUUCUCGACAUUUCUAUUUACGCAGCCACGUGCUAGGUUAUUCUAUAUCAGCAUCUCCAGAGGAAUUACGAAAACGAUACGCUAAUGAAUCGGAUCCUAAGAUUGUUUAUACACAAAUAAUAAGUUAAUCUUACAACCAAUCUAAUAAGUUACUCCAAUAAGGUGAAUAUUAAAUUGAUUACAAGACGGAAUCGAAAGACAUUACUAUGGAGUUUCUUGUUGCUAACCGAAAACCUAGAAUAAGUAAUGGAUACUAUAAUAAGAUUAGGUUACGUUUACGUUAAUAAGUUCUCUUACAUUUCUAAAGGGUUUUUUCUUUCUUUCUUUUUUUGUAAUGAUCCGAUACCCGUCAGCAUACUAACACUGUCACCACGAAUGAUACAACGGAAGUCGAAAUCCUAGUCAUGUACAAGAAGUGUAUGCACAAACACGCAGCAUCCAACAUGCUCCAAACCCUGUAAUAUGAGAGCAAUAAAUAUAGAUAAUCACACAUGCUCAACUCUACAUUUAAUAUUUUUUUUAUUUCAUGUUUUAAAGUUUGUGUUUAUUCUAUCAUCCUUAAAUUGAUUAAAUUUAGAUCUAACAAACAACCAAACAAUAGUUUGUUUUACAAACUUAUAUAUCAAUGGAAUAUAGAAUGAACAAAUUCUGCACUAAUGAACAUGGGCACAAAAUUAGCACAUUUAUGACUACAAAAAAGAAAAAAAAAAACAGUCUUAACUAAAUAACACACACACACACACACAUAUAUAUCUAUAUCCCUCGACAAAUAAACCGACCAAAUGCCAUUUUUCUUACAAGAACAAAUAUACCGAAGCUCGCUAAAAAUGUUUCACCAUAAAAAAAUCUAAAAGCACGAUCAAUUGCAUGUUCUAAUUGCACAAAAAAUGCACAAACUAUGCACCAAUCAACUUGACACAAAAUCAUCACAAGUUUCCGUUUGUACAUUCUCAUGAUGCAAACAUACUAUUGUUUCAGCUACUCUUGCUCGAACUUAAAUUAGAACACCAAAAAAUAAAUUGCGCAAAAGGUGGUCAACAAUAACCCAAGACAAUUCACCUGCACGUAAAAGAUAUUCUGUAUGUACUGAGAUGUAUAAAUCUCUGAUUUUCAAUUGUUUUUUUUUUAUUGAAAUUACACGAACGAAUGAGAUUACACGUAAAAAAAUAAAACUGCACUCUCAACACUCAUUUCACUGUCAAUAUAAACUCACCACUCCAUCAUUUCAUUUCACUCACCAUCUAAAAAAACACAUUAUGCAGUCAAAAUAGAAAAAAAAAGAGUGCAUGCACAACAUGCAGCCCCUAACAGAGGAUCCCGCGAGGCGGGGCUGCGGCCACAAAGAGAAUAACGAGGGGCCAAAGCGAAAUGGUCAAGGCCUUGACUGAGAGGAACAACUGGAAAAUGUUCCGGGAGUACUCUCAGGCUGAGGUUUUACGUAUUUGUUCCUAUUUCGGAAUAACUACACUGGUCCUCAAAAACUGCAUCUCUCUACACAGGCGAAAAAGCAAAGCUGCAAUAGAUCAACACUAGGGUUUUCGUUUUCGUUUUUCUUUCAGUUCCUAGGGUUAAAGGGAACUAGUAUUUGUUGUAAUAGAUGUAUUGUAUGUACUGAGAUGUAUACAUCUCUAGGUACAAUUAGUUAUAUAUUCAAUAGAAGAACCAUAGAUACUUCUCUUCAUUUCCUUGUCCAAAAUUCAACUACACUUGAGAUUCACAAAAUCAAUAUACAAUUACCUAUAGUAAUUAAAUUAUGAUAGAGCGAGCCGACAAUGCACUAAUAUUGCGCAUUGCGCUAAUAUUGCUUAAUACAACUAAAAACAUACUUCUUCCACCAUUCUAAUUUACACUAUUAUAAUCCACUCUUCGAAAUCAAGAAAAAAAAUUAUUUGUACCAAAAAUCUCUAGCAUGCUAACCUAAGAAGUUGUUGGUUAUAGAAAAAAAAUAUAUACCGAUAAAUGAAAAUAAAAUAAAAGAGACCAAAUAAAAUAACUUCAAUCGCUCCAAACUCACACAAAAAAUGCACAUAACAAGAUAUUCUAUAUGCACAAAUUCUGCAGCAAUCAACUUGACACAAAAUGAUCACAGUUUUCUGUUUUUACAUUCUCGUGAUACUAUUUUUUCAGCAACUCUUGCUCAACUUGUAUGAGAAGACCAAGAAAUGAAUUGCGCAAAAGGUGAUAAAGAAAUGCACUAACCUUAUCAUAAUUAAUAACCCAACUCAUUCCCUUUCUUUAUCUUCUUCUCCAGCUCAUUUCUUUCAUUAUUAAUAAAAAAAUGGCUACCAAUAACGUACAUCAAUAACCUAAGACAGUUAUCUUGCACGUAAGAAGAGUAUAACGAGGGCACAAAGUGAAACGGUGAGGGCUCUGUCUGAGAGGAACAACUGGAAUACGUUCCGGUGGUACUCUCAGGCAGAGGUUUUACGUAUUUGUUUCAAUUUCGGAAUAACUACACUGGCACUCAAAAACUGCAUCUCUCUACACAGCUGCAAUAGAUCAACAGUAGGGUUUCCGUUUUUCUUUUCCUUUUUUUUUUCAGUUCCUAGGUUUAAAGGGAAGCUAGCAAAAUUAAGAUAUAGCGGGAAAUGCACUAAUAUUGCACAUUGCGCUAAUAUUGCACAGUUCAACUAAUUUACAUUAUUACAAUUCAGUCUUCAGACCCUUCACAAUCAAGAAACGAAAUCAUUCGUACCAAACACCACUAUCUAGCAGCUUGUUAACCUAGACUACAAGUGUUAUACAAGCAAAAUAUGACAAUCACUACCAAUUAAAUACUAAUUCAAAUUAUCUUGGUUACUCUGUUUGGAGUUAAUAUUAUCACAGCUUCGUUCACCUAGAAUUCCCAAAUCGAUCUUCCAAUUUGUUUUCUCUCGACAUUUCUAUUUACGCAACCACGUGCUAGGUUAUUCUAUAUCAGUAUCUCUAACAGAGGAGUUGCCAAAAUCAUACGCUAAUGAAUCAUAUCCUAAGAUUGUUUUGUACACAAAUAAUAAGUUAAUCUUACAAGCAAUCUAACAAAGUCAUGAGAAUAUCAAGAAGACGUACCUAUAGAUCAUCAAAUUCAUUCAAGAAAAGGCAAAUGUGUGGUAAUUUUUACUACGGAAUUUCUUGAUGCUAGCUGCUACAAAGGAUUCGAUGUAGGCAUUAUUUUUUUUAUUUUUUUUUUAGAGAGAGAUGUAGGCAUUAUUUGAAUGCUAAGAAGAUAUAGGCAAGAACUGGAAAACCUAGAAUAAGUAAUAAUUACUACAAUAAGUUUAGGUUACGUUUACGUUAAUAAGUUCUCUUACAUUUCUAAAUGGUUUUUUUGUUUUUUCUUUUUUUUUUUCUUUUUUUUUUUUUUUUUGGGUUUUCUCUCUCUCUUUUUUGUAAUUUAACCUCAUUAAGGACAUAUUACGAACUAAUAAACGUUUGCAUGUAUGUACGUUUAUCUAUAUUAGCGAAUCAGAUUUUGAGAUAUUCAUGCUUUAGAGUCGUACCCGGGUUAUUUCUACAUUCCUCACUUCCUAGUACAUCCUCUGUCCUUCUCAUCAACAAUGCCGAAAACCAGUUAUUCAUCGGUAUUGACUUUGAAUAUCUGCACACCGUAAAUCAUAUACAAUUACCAACUGAAUGAGAAAAUUCAAAUGUACAAUCUUAGUAUGUAUGUUUUAGUAGAGAGGAUCAAGAACUUACUAAUCUUACAUUCUGCUAACAGCUGUAAAAUGAAAUAUUGUUAAACGAGGCAAAAAGACAGUUAAAUAGAACAAAAGGUGAAACGAAAAACGGAUAUUAUAUUAUAAAUGUAAUAGUUAGCCAAAAAAAUAAAAUUGAAAAUUAAAAAUCGAAUCAAUAAUUGAAAUCUCGUAUAUAUUCCAAUUCCUACAAAAACAAUACAAAAUUUGAAAAAAAAAAUCAAAAUAAAAAAUGAAAAAUAUUAUUCCAAAAUAAAAAUAUUAAAAAUUAAUAUAUGUGGUUCGAAUUAGAGGAAAAUCAAAAAUUUCGUUCUAAUUUGCAUCCUCAUUCACAAAAUCUCUUUAACUAUAAUUGUAUUGCACAAAAAAGCAUUAUUCUUAAUUGCAAUAAAGUUCGGAAGUUAAGAACGGUCGGAGUUAUCGGAAGAUGACGGAUUUUUUCCGACCGAUAACAUGUUGCAUUUAUUUAUUUGUUUCCAAUUAUCUUUAAGUUUAAACUAAAUAGCAAUUAAUACGUAUAACCAAUGAUGAUGCGUAAAGGAUUUACGAUUUACCCUAGCCAAAACUACGUGGCUGCGUGUCCCUAAUGAUCACGAGAGCUUAUCGACAUAAAUGGUAAAUUUAACGAACAACGUAAAUACCGACCAACGGUUCAUAGUUUAGGAGGCAAAAAUAUUAUUUACCCUAAUAAUGAUUGUUAUUCCAACGGUCAUUUAUUUCUUAUUUUCGUGAUAAGGAAUAAUAUCUUAAUCAGUCGAUAUUUACCUACAAAUAUUUACAGUAAGAAGUAAAAAAUGAGUAAAAUUGUAUAAGAAAAUAUUUACCUACAAAUAUUAUAUUUGACUGAUAUUAAGUCAAAAUCAUAGAUUACUGUAAAACAAAAUGUUAUGAUGUCUUCAUGAUUGUGACGUCAUAAUUAAAUGAAAUUAAUAAAAUCUGAUCCUGCAAAGUUAUCUUUGACUGCAAAAUCAAUAUUUAUGCAUUACUAUUCAAAACUCAAAUCUGAGUCUGUAAUAUGAUUUUAAAUUAUAAAAUACAUUCGUUUGAAUUUUAUAAAGAAAGUAAAUAGAGUGAACAUAUAUAUUACGAGUCUGAAUAGAAUUUAAUGAAAAUCUAUUUUAUGGAUUAAACGUAAUUAAAUAAUAAGUACAUUAAAAAAACAAAUUAAAAGCAAAAGUUUAUAUAACAUAUAAUUUAAUCCAACCAAAAAUGGGAAAAACUUAAAUUGUAUUGCUAAAUGUUUAAUGAAAAUAUUUUUAAUAAAAAGAAAAAGAAAAAGAAAAUCCCAUUUCAGUAUUUCAGUAAGUAAAUCACUAAAUCUGGAAUACAGAUAUCAAGAAUUGAAAUCCAAUACAGGAAUAAGACUACACCUCAACCCUCAUUUCACUCUAUAUAAACUCACCACUCUCCUUCAUUUCAUUUCACUCACCAUGGAAAAAACACACACUGCAGUCAAAAAGAAAAAAAAAAAGAAAAAAAAAGAAAAAAAAACAUUCUGCAUUCUUGAAAAGAAAUGGCGACUGACAAUGCAUUGAAAGUGGAAAUGCUAGUAAUGUACAAAGAGUGCAUACACAACCAUGCAGCCUCCAACAGAGGAUUUCUCCUCGACGGCUGCGGCCUCUUCGAGGGCCCUAGCGGCACCACCACCGGGUCCCGCGAGGCCAUGCUCUGUGCUGUCUGCGGCUGCCACCGCAACUUCCACCAGAGAGUCGUAGUGGAAAUUCCGCAACACCACCGCUCCUCCUCCAUCCGCCACCAACAAUAACAACAACAACAGCCUCGCACCCCGACCAACAACAACAGCCCACUUUGCACCCCCACCAACCACAACAGCCCGCCUCGCACCCCCACCAACCACAACAGCCUGCCUCGCACCACCAGGAGGCAGCGGCAGAGGCACCAUGAUCAUUCGCCGCGAACCAGCCUCUGCACCAGGCCGCUUCGCUCCCGAGCAGGCGGCGGUUCGUCGGCAGAGGCGGGCCCCACAUCGACAUGCGGAGGGCACUUCUGCUGCACCACAGGGAGUGCCACCUCAACAUGGGGUGCGUGCCCCCCGCAGAAAGAGAAUAACGAGGGCCCAAAGCGAAAUGGUGAGGGCCUUGACUGGGAGGAACGACUGGAAAAUGUUCCGGGAGUACUCUCAGGCUGAGGUUUUACGUAUUUGUUCCGAUUUCGGAAUAACUACACUGGCCCUAAAAAACUGCAUCUCUCUACACAGGCGAAAAAGAAAAGCUGAAAUAGAUCAACACUAGGGUUUUCGUUUUAGUUUUUUUUUUCGGUUCCUAGGUUUAAAGGGAACUAGAGUUUCUUGUGUAAUAGAUGCAUUGUAUGUGCUGAGAUGUAUACAUCUCUGAUUUACAAUUCGUCUUUUUUUUUUUUUUUUAAUUGAAGUAAGAGCUUCGGAUCUCAACUUAUUCAUCCAACUGAAAUUAGAUCUUAUCGUUUAUAUCGUUGGAAAAGUUGUAGAAUCCGUUGCUAACGAACAUUAAUUAAGGUAGGAGUAAAACGGAAAGUACUUGUAGAGUACUAGUUAUCUUACGUACUCUCUAACUCCUAUAGACGACCAGGCCCGUUAAUUUCUUGCCAUCUAAGGUAUUAAAUAAAUCGAUUAAAUAUUUGCAGACCAAAUUUUAGUGCCUUUUAACUCCGACGACGCGACAACCAUUAUUUCUUUGUGCAUAUGUCGAACUCUGAAUAAAACCCUAUUUAAGCUUCACUGAUAGGGCUUCAGUAAAUUUAAGCUUCGUGAGAACAUGUAUAAAAGGUUGCUAUUUAUAAGUUUCUGCCGCUUUUUAGUACACUGCUUAUUCGUGUGCUUACCAAAUCUUAUACUGCAAUCAGUUACCGUUAUAUUGAUCGUACAAGAUUUUUUCGGAAUUUUCUUUGACGCAACUCAUCAGUAAGUUAUUUUGUUUUCUUUCUAAAAGUUGUCUCUAGACAGUCAUUAAUGUAGUGUACGAAAAUUGACGAGGCGACUCUAAAUGACCGGAAAAUGUGUAAUAAUCAGUUAGCUAAGAUCUAAGACCGCAUAAUUUAUAACGUGUUCUGGGAGAUAACAUGUCAAUUAAUAUCCCCAUGCAUGCAAUCAUAUAACACGGAAGAUGAGGACACCUUACGACUGUAAGGGUUAUAAUUAAAUUCAUUUAUAUAACGCGUUCAACUUUUUGCAAAAUAAACUAACAAAAGGUAAAGUCAUUUAUAGAAGCCGAUUCUUACUUCGGUAGUAUUUUCACCAUACACAAGUUAUAUUGCCAUUUAAAGAAAGAAAAAAUGCUGACUUGAAUCGACGAUAUGGA
This 16389-nucleotide long non-coding RNA is filed under the name Erythranthe guttata (spotted monkey flower). Its description in RNAcentral is "long non-coding RNA (EGUT_LNC002604)". The record is from RNAcentral. Lineage: Eukaryota; Viridiplantae; Streptophyta; Magnoliopsida; Lamiales; Phrymaceae.